CCUACGGAGGAAGCAGUGAGGAAGAGUGGUCAAGGGACGGAAGUCGGAACCAGACAGGACGCGUGAAGGAAGACGGAUCUAUGAGUUGUAAACUGCUUUUGUACAAGGGUAAACCUGAAUACGUGUAUUCAGCUGAAAGUACUGUACGAAUAAGGAUCGGCUAACUCCGUGCCAGCAGCCGCGGUAAUACGGAGGAGCCAAGCGUUAUCCGGAUUUAUUGGGUUUAAAGGGUGCGUAGGCGGAUUGAGAAGUUAGAGGGGAAAUGUCCGAGCUUAACUCGGGAACUGCCUCUAAUACUGUUGAUCGAGAGAGUAGCUGCGGUAGGCGGAAUGUAUGGUGUAGCGGUGAAAUGCUUAGAGAUCAUACAGAACACCGAUUGCGAAGGCAGCUUACCAAUCUAUAUCUGACGUUGAGGCACGAAAGCGUGGGGAGCAAACAGGAUUAGAUACCCGAGUAGUC
This 459-nucleotide ribosomal RNA is filed under the name uncultured bacterium. Its description in RNAcentral is "partial 16S ribosomal RNA". It matches the Rfam family "Bacterial small subunit ribosomal RNA", at positions 338 to 795 of the family's 1533-position model. The record is from RNAcentral.